This 574-nucleotide long non-coding RNA is filed under the name Fukomys damarensis (Damara mole-rat). RNAcentral describes it as "lncRNA (ENSFDAG00000028512.1)". Lineage: Eukaryota; Metazoa; Chordata; Mammalia; Rodentia; Bathyergidae. The record is from RNAcentral.
CUGCCAUGUAAGACAACAUAUUUACAUGUCCAGGAUUAGGGUGGAGAUGUUUUGAAGGUCUUUAUUCUGCCUGCCACAGAUCAUAGCAUAUCAACGAAGAAUCCUAGAUUCUAAUCUCUAACCUCCCACUCAUUUUACAGUUCCUUCUGGGACAUUUUAAAGAAAUGUACUAUCAGCCGUGGAUGGAGCACCCUGCCAUGAUGAGUUCACUGCUGCUAGGAGCUGCUUGCCCUGAGCAAGCUCCGUGAACCAUCCUCUUCAACAUCUCCUUAAAUUGUUUUUCUCAUGAAAUGUGCAGGGUGGCCAACACCAUGGAUAUGUUCAUUAAAUAUUAUUUCACUUGGCUUUAUUCAUUCUGGCACGUCACUGGUUUUAUGGCUGACGGUGAAUCCAUCUUCCCUAUGCUCUGACAGGUGAGAAGCCAUUCUCCCCUGAAUGGGGGCUCCCACUGUACAUCUGGCACCCACCGCGCAGGUGAGCCUUCCCGCUCCUAAAUGAUGACUGGUAAGAAAAACAAGAUGUCUUUCUUGGUUAUAAAUUUAACUCUUCUAUGAUUAGUCUGGGCAAUUAGGAC